Molecule: long non-coding RNA, 573 nt
Filed under: Lactuca sativa (garden lettuce)
Lineage: Eukaryota; Viridiplantae; Streptophyta; Magnoliopsida; Asterales; Asteraceae
Description: long non-coding RNA (LSAT_LNC005607)
Source: RNAcentral
CUUCCACUCAUCAUCGCCACCACAACCUGUCAUCACUGCAACCUCCACCAAUGCACCCUAUGUCACCUGAACAUCGUCUAUCGUCACUGAAACUUUCAAAAACAACAUAAAAUAUUAUCGAAAAACUCUGCCACCUGAAUAUCCUGUAGUUUAGUCAAAUAAAUCAAAAUCCAAACAAUUUAGGGAAACUUGGAGAUUGAAGGAGUGUGAACAUAUCAUGAUUCACGUGCAUCUCGAUCUUUAUAAUGUCCCUCUGAUGUCUGAGAAAUCGAAUCGAACGAGUGGUGAGAAUCAAUUUUCAGAAAAUCCACCAACCAUCGAUAAUUUUGCCUUCGUCUUGCCCUCUGCUUUCAUUAUGUUUCAGAUGGGUUUAGUUCUCAACUGGGUUGAGUUUCAGAUCGGGUUAUCAAAUUGAACGAUUGAGCGUGAACGGACAAUUGGAGAGGGUGUGAGGAGGAGAAAGAUCGGGUCACCGGAAUCUGGAACGGGAAAGAGACGAAGAUGGUGAGAGGCAGUGAUGGAGGAAGGUGAAGCAUGAAGAUCUGGGAGAAGGAACGAAGCUAUAGGGUUUUU